This 253-nucleotide ribosomal RNA is filed under the name uncultured bacterium. RNAcentral describes it as "partial 16S ribosomal RNA". It matches the Rfam family "Bacterial small subunit ribosomal RNA", at positions 524 to 776 of the family's 1533-position model. The record is from RNAcentral.
UACGUAGGGUCCGAGCGUUGUCCGGAAUUAUUGGGCGUAAAGGGCUCGUAGGCGGUUUGUCGCGUCGGGAGUGAAAACUCAGGGCUCAACCCUGAGCGUGCUUCCGAUACGGGCAGACUAGAGGUAUGCAGGGGAGAACGGAAUUCCUGGUGUAGCGGUGGAAUGCGCAGAUAUCAGGAGGAACACCGGUGGCGAAGGCGGUUCUCUGGGCAUUACCUGACGCUGAGGAGCGAAAGCAUGGGUAGCGAACAGG